AUGUGUGUGUGUGAGUGUGUACGUUGGAGAACACGAGGAAAGUACUACAGAGAUGAGAGAUUUUCGAGGGAUUUUGAAGAGAAAACGACGAAGAGUGAAAUCAUACAUCAUACAUAUACUACAAAAGUAGAAUACAUACACAUAUACGGUGGUCGACGUAUCUUAUACGGUGGCUUUGUUUCACGCGCGGGAAAUUGUUAUACGAUGUCGCUUCAUUGUUUCCCUAGUCCCUUCCCUACAAGUUUCCUCUACCGACUAUAUGUGAUUAAACUUAACGUGUUUAUAUUUUCAAAAUUAUAA
This is a non-coding RNA of Vicia faba (fava bean), 300 nucleotides long. Lineage: Eukaryota; Viridiplantae; Streptophyta; Magnoliopsida; Fabales; Fabaceae. The record is from the annotation of a GenBank genome assembly.